RNAcentral lists this ribosomal RNA (331 nucleotides) under uncultured eukaryote. RNAcentral's name for it is "partial 18S ribosomal RNA". It matches the Rfam family "Eukaryotic small subunit ribosomal RNA", at positions 1470 to 1796 of the family's 1831-position model. The record is from RNAcentral.
CCCUUAGAUGUCCUGGGCCGCACGCGUGCUACACUGAUGCAUACAGCGAGCACUUCCCGGCCCCGAAAGGCGGCUGGUAAUCAGCAAUAUGCAUCGUGAUGGGGAUAGAUCUUUGGAAUUCUUGAUCUUGAACGAGGAAUUCCUAGUAAGCGCGAGUCAUCAGCUCGCGCUGAUUACGUCCCUGCCCUUUGUACACACCGCCCGUCGCUACUACCGAUUGGAUGGUUUAGCGAGAUGUUUGGAUCGGAGCCCGGGUGGUCAGCAAUGGUCGCCCGGGACCUCUGAGAAACUCAUCCAGCCCGGUCAUCUAGAGGAAGUAAAAGUCGUAACA